UUAAGCGACUAAGCGUACACGGUGGAUGCCCUGGCAGUCAGAGGCGAUGAAGGACGUGCUAAUCUGCGAUAAGCGUCGGUAAGGUGAUAUGAACCGUUAUAACCGGCGAUUUCCGAAUGGGGAAACCCAGUGUGUUUCGACACACUAUCAUUAACUGAAUCCAUAGGUUAAUGAGGCGAACCGGGGGAACUGAAACAUCUAAGUACCCCGAGGAAAAGAAAUCAACCGAGAUUCCCCCAGUAGCGGCGAGCGAACGGGGAGCAGCCCAGAGCCUGAAUCAGUGUGUGUGUUAGUGGAAGCGUCUGGAAAGGCGCGCGAUACAGGGUGACAGCCCCGUACACAAAAAUGCACAUAUUGUGAGCUCGAUGAGUAGGGCGGGACACGUGGUAUCCUGUCUGAAUAUGGGGGGACCAUCCUCCAAGGCUAAAUACUCCUGACUGACCGAUAGUGAACCAGUACCGUGAGGGAAAGGCGAAAAGAACCCCGGCGAGGGGAGUGAAAAAGAACCUGAAACCGUGUACGUACAAGCAGUGGGAGCACGCUUAGGCGUGUGACUGCGUACCUUUUGUAUAAUGGGUCAGCGACUUAUAUUCUGUAGCAAGGUUAACCGAAUAGGGGAGCCGAAGGGAAACCGAGUCUUAACUGGGCGUUAAGUUGCAGGGUAUAGACCCGAAACCCGGUGAUCUAGCCAUGGGCAGGUUGAAGGUUGGGUAACACUAACUGGAGGACCGAACCGACUAAUGUUGAAAAAUUAGCGGAUGACUUGUGGCUGGGGGUGAAAGGCCAAUCAAACCGGGAGAUAGCUGGUUCUCCCCGAAAGCUAUUUAGGUAGCGCCUCGUGAAUUCAUCUCCGGGGGUAGAGCACUGUUUCGGCAAGGGGGUCAUCCCGACUUACCAACCCGAUGCAAACUGCGAAUACCGGAGAAUGUUAUCACGGGAGACACACGGCGGGUGCUAACGUCCGUCGUGAAGAGGGAAACAACCCAGACCGCCAGCUAAGGUCCCAAAGUCAUGGUUAAGUGGGAAACGAUGUGGGAAGGCCCAGACAGCCAGGAUGUUGGCUUAGAAGCAGCCAUCAUUUAAAGAAAGCGUAAUAGCUCACUGGUCGAGUCGGCCUGCGCGGAAGAUGUAACGGGGCUAAACCAUGCACCGAAGCUGCGGCAGCGACGCUUAUGCGUUGUUGGGUAGGGGAGCGUUCUGUAAGCCUGUGAAGGUGUGCUGUGAGGCAUGCUGGAGGUAUCAGAAGUGCGAAUGCUGACAUAAGUAACGAUAAAGCGGGUGAAAAGCCCGCUCGCCGGAAGACCAAGGGUUCCUGUCCAACGUUAAUCGGGGCAGGGUGAGUCGACCCCUAAGGCGAGGCCGAAAGGCGUAGUCGAUGGGAAACAGGUUAAUAUUCCUGUACUUGGUGUUACUGCGAAGGGGGGACGGAGAAGGCUAUGUUGGCCGGGCGACGGUUGUCCCGGUUUAAGCGUGUAGGCUGGUUUUCCAGGCAAAUCCGGAAAAUCAAGGCUGAGGCGUGAUGACGAGGCACUACGGUGCUGAAGCAACAAAUGCCCUGCUUCCAGGAAAAGCCUCUAAGCAUCAGGUAACAUCAAAUCGUACCCCAAACCGACACAGGUGGUCAGGUAGAGAAUACCAAGGCGCUUGAGAGAACUCGGGUGAAGGAACUAGGCAAAAUGGUGCCGUAACUUCGGGAGAAGGCACGCUGAUAUGUAGGUGAGGUCCCUCGCGGAUGGAGCUGAAAUCAGUCGAAGAUACCAGCUGGCUGCAACUGUUUAUUAAAAACACAGCACUGUGCAAACACGAAAGUGGACGUAUACGGUGUGACGCCUGCCCGGUGCCGGAAGGUUAAUUGAUGGGGUUAGCGCAAGCGAAGCUCUUGAUCGAAGCCCCGGUAAACGGCGGCCGUAACUAUAACGGUCCUAAGGUAGCGAAAUUCCUUGUCGGGUAAGUUCCGACCUGCACGAAUGGCGUAAUGAUGGCCAGGCUGUCUCCACCCGAGACUCAGUGAAAUUGAACUCGCUGUGAAGAUGCAGUGUACCCGCGGCAAGACGGAAAGACCCCGUGAACCUUUACUAUAGCUUGACACUGAACAUUGAGCCUUGAUGUGUAGGAUAGGUGGGAGGCUUAGAAGUGUGGACGCCAGUCUGCAUGGAGCCGACCUUGAAAUACCACCCUUUAAUGUUUGAUGUUCUAACGUUGACCCGUAAUCCGGGUUGCGGACAGUGUCUGGUGGGUAGUUUGACUGGGGCGGUCUCCUCCUAAAGAGUAACGGAGGAGCACGAAGGUUGGCUAAUCCUGGUCGGACAUCAGGAGGUUAGUGCAAUGGCAUAAGCCAGCUUGACUGCGAGCGUGACGGCGCGAGCAGGUGCGAAAGCAGGUCAUAGUGAUCCGGUGGUUCUGAAUGGAAGGGCCAUCGCUCAACGGAUAAAAGGUACUCCGGGGAUAACAGGCUGAUACCGCCCAAGAGUUCAUAUCGACGGCGGUGUUUGGCACCUCGAUGUCGGCUCAUCACAUCCUGGGGCUGAAGUAGGUCCCAAGGGUAUGGCUGUUCGCCAUUUAAAGUGGUACGCGAGCUGGGUUUAGAACGUCGUGAGACAGUUCGGUCCCUAUCUGCCGUGGGCGCUGGAGAACUGAGGGGGGCUGCUCCUAGUACGAGAGGACCGGAGUGGACGCAUCACUGGUGUUCGGGUUGUCAUGCCAAUGGCACUGCCCGGUAGCUAAAUGCGGAAGAGAUAAGUGCUGAAAGCAUCUAAGCACGAAACUUGCCCCGAGAUGAGUUCUCCCUGACCCUUUAAGGGUCCUGAAGGAACGUUGAAGACGACGACGUUGAUAGGCCGGGUGUGUAAGCGCAGCGAUGCGUUGAGCUAACCGGUACUAAUGAACCGUGAGGCUUAACCUU
RNAcentral lists this ribosomal RNA (2902 nucleotides) under Escherichia coli. Its description in RNAcentral is "23S ribosomal RNA". It matches the Rfam family "Bacterial large subunit ribosomal RNA". The record is from RNAcentral. Lineage: Bacteria; Pseudomonadati; Pseudomonadota; Gammaproteobacteria; Enterobacterales; Enterobacteriaceae.